UACGAAGGGGGCUAGCGUUGUUCGGAAUCACUGGGCGUAAAGGGCGCGUAGGCGGCCCGUCAAGUCAGGCGUGAAAGCCCCGGGCUCAACCCGGGAACAGCGCUUGGGACUGGCGGGCUCGAGUUCGGGAGAGGAUGGUGGAAUUCCCAGUGUAGAGGUGAAAUUCGUAGAUAUUGGGAAGAACACCGGUGGCGAAGGCGACCAUCUGGACCGACACUGACGCUGAGGCGCGACAGCGUGGGGAGCAAACAGG
RNAcentral lists this ribosomal RNA (253 nucleotides) under uncultured bacterium. RNAcentral describes it as "partial 16S ribosomal RNA". It matches the Rfam family "Bacterial small subunit ribosomal RNA", at positions 524 to 776 of the family's 1533-position model. The record is from RNAcentral.